RNAcentral lists this ribosomal RNA (253 nucleotides) under uncultured bacterium. RNAcentral's name for it is "partial 16S ribosomal RNA". It matches the Rfam family "Bacterial small subunit ribosomal RNA", at positions 524 to 776 of the family's 1533-position model. The record is from RNAcentral.
UACGUAGGGGGCGAGCGUUGUCCGAAGUUACUGGGCGUAAAGCGCGUGUAGGCGGCUUUGCAAGUCGGGUGUGAAAGCCCUCAGCUCAACUGAGGAAGUGCGCCCGAAACUGCAGAGCUUGAGUGCCGGAGAGGGUGGCGGAAUUCCCCAAGUAGAGGUGAAAUUCGUAGAUAUGGGGAGGAACACCGGUGGCGAAGGCGGCGACCUGGGACAAUACUGACGCUGAGGUGCGAAAGCGUGGGGAGCAAACAGG